This is a non-coding RNA of Podarcis lilfordi (Lilford's wall lizard), 73 nucleotides long. The record is from the annotation of a GenBank genome assembly. NCBI's taxonomy places the organism in Eukaryota, Metazoa, Chordata, Lepidosauria, Squamata, Lacertidae.
UGCCCUAACUCAGUUGGUUAGAGCGUGGUGCUGAUAACGCCAAGGUUGCAGGUUCGAUCCCUGUACGGAACAG